Molecule: ribosomal RNA, 496 nt
Filed under: uncultured bacterium
Lineage: Bacteria
Description: partial 16S ribosomal RNA
Rfam family: Bacterial small subunit ribosomal RNA
Source: RNAcentral
GAUGAACGCUGGCGGCGUGCCUAAUACAUGCAAGUCGAGCGAACAGACGAGGAGCUUGCUCCUCUGACGUUAGCUGCGGACGGGUGAGUAACACGUGGAUAACCUACCUAUAAGACUGGGAUAACUUCGGGAAACCGGAGCUAAUACCGGAUAAUAUAUUGAACCGCAUGGUUCAAUAGUGAAAGACGGUUUUGCUGUCACUUAUAGAUGGAUCCGCGCCGCAUUAGCUAGUUGUUAAGGUAACGGCUUACCAAGGAAACGAUGCGUAGCCGACUGAGAGGGUGAUCGGCCACACUGGAACGGAGACACGGUCCAGACUCCUACGGGAGGCAGCAGUAGGGAAUCUUCCGCAAUGGGCGAAAGCCUGAAGGAGCAGAGCCGCGUGAGUGAUGAAGGUCUUCGGAUCGUAAAACUAUGUUAUUAGGGAAGAACAAAUGUGUAAGUAACUAUGCACGUCUUGACGGUACCUAAUCAGAAAGCCAGGGCUAACUCCGUG